Molecule: ribosomal RNA, 640 nt
Filed under: Salmonella enterica subsp. enterica serovar Weltevreden
Lineage: Bacteria; Pseudomonadati; Pseudomonadota; Gammaproteobacteria; Enterobacterales; Enterobacteriaceae
Description: bacterial SSU rRNA
Rfam family: Bacterial small subunit ribosomal RNA
Source: RNAcentral
GUUAAAACUCAAAUGAAUUGACGGGGGCCCGCACAAGCGGUGGAGCAUGUGGUUUAAUUCGAUGCAACGCGAAGAACCUUACCUGGUCUUGACAUCCACAGAACUUUCCAGAGAUGGACUGGUGCCUUCGGGAACCGUGAGACAGGUGCUGCAUGGCUGUCGUCAGCUCGUGUUGUGAAAUGUUGGGUUAAGUCCCGCAACGAGCGCAACCCUUAUCCUUUGUUGCCAGCGGUUAGGCCGGGAACUCAAAGGAGACUGCCAGUGAUAAACUGGAGGAAGGUGGGGAUGACGUCAAGUCAUCAUGGCCCUUACGACCAGGGCUACACACGUGCUACAAUGGCGCAUACAAAGAGAAGCGACCUCGCGAGAGCAAGCGGACCUCAUAAAGUGCGUCGUAGUCCGGAUUGGAGUCUGCAACUCGACUCCAUGAAGUCGGAAUCGCUAGUAAUCGUGGAUCAGAAUGCCACGGUGAAUACGUUCCCGGGCCUUGUACACACCGCCCGUCACACCAUGGGAGUGGGUUGCAAAAGAAGUAGGUAGCUUAACCUUCGGGAGGGCGCUUACCACUUUGUGAUUCAUGACUGGGGUGAAGUCGUAACAAGGUAACCGUAGGGGAACCUGCGGUUGGAUCACCUCCUUA